GACGAACGCUGGCGGCGUGCCUAAUACAUGCAAGUAGAACGCUGAAGAGAGGAGCUUGCUCUUCUUGGAUGAGUUGCGAACGGGUGAGUAACGCGUAGGUAACCUGCCUGGUAGCGGGGGAUAACUAUUGGAAACGAUAGCUAAUUCCGCAUGAUAUUAAUUGUCGCAUGAUAAUUAAUUGAAAGAUGCAAUUGCAUCACUACCAGAUGGACCUGCGUUGUAUUAGCUAGUUGGUGAGGUAACGGCUCACCAAGGCGACGAUACAUAGCCGACCUGAGAGGGUGAUCGGCCACACUGGGACUGAGACACGGCCCAGACUCCUACGGGAGGCAGCAGUAGGGAAUCUUCGGCAAUGGGGGGAACCCUGACCGAGCAACGCCGCGUGAGUGAAGAAGGUUUUCGGAUCGUAAAGCUCUGUUGUAAGAGAAGA
This 430-nucleotide ribosomal RNA is filed under the name Streptococcus sanguinis. RNAcentral's name for it is "bacterial SSU rRNA". It matches the Rfam family "Bacterial small subunit ribosomal RNA", at positions 28 to 448 of the family's 1533-position model. Lineage: Bacteria; Bacillati; Bacillota; Bacilli; Lactobacillales; Streptococcaceae. The record is from RNAcentral.